Molecule: transfer RNA, 63 nt
Filed under: Podarcis lilfordi (Lilford's wall lizard)
Lineage: Eukaryota; Metazoa; Chordata; Lepidosauria; Squamata; Lacertidae
Description: tRNA.Lys
Source: RNAcentral
CAGCUCAGUCAGUAAAGCAUGAGACUCUUAAUCUCGGGGUUGUUGGUUCGAGCCCCACAUUGG